UCGGGAAUUUUGGGCAAUGGGCGAAAGCCUGACCCAGCAACGCCGCGUGAAGGAUGAAGUAUUUCGGUAUGUAAACUUCGAAAGAAUGGGAAGAAUAAAUGACGGUACCAUUUAUAAGCUCCGGCUAACUACGUGCCAGCAGCCGCGGUAAUACGUAGGGACCAAGCGUUGUUCGGAUUUACUGGGCGUAAAGGGCGCGUAGGCGGCAUGACAAGUCACUUGUGAAAUCUCUGGGCUUAACCCAGAACGGCCAAGUGAUACUGUCGCGCUAGAGUGCAGAAGGGGCAAUCGGAAUUCUUGGUGUAGCGGUGAAAUGCGUAGAUAUCAAGAGGAACACCUGAGGUGAAGACGGGUUGCUGGGCUGACACUGACGCUGAGGCGCGAAAGCCAGGGGAGCAAACGGGAUUAGAUACCCUUGUAGUCCCUGAGCGGGCUGGCAAGGCGCAU
This 447-nucleotide ribosomal RNA is filed under the name uncultured bacterium. Its description in RNAcentral is "bacterial SSU rRNA". It matches the Rfam family "Bacterial small subunit ribosomal RNA", at positions 355 to 825 of the family's 1533-position model. The record is from RNAcentral.